This 1404-nucleotide long non-coding RNA is filed under the name Helianthus annuus (common sunflower). The record is from RNAcentral. Lineage: Eukaryota; Viridiplantae; Streptophyta; Magnoliopsida; Asterales; Asteraceae.
CACCGCCACAACAACCAUUUUCUUUCUCUUUGUCCGUCCAGCAAGUCAGCAACAACGCAUUGUUUUCUUUUUCUAUACCAGUGCAGGUAAGGAAUAGAGAGAGACUAAGAGAGAGAAAAGGGGCACAAAGAGAGAGAGAGAGAGAGAGAGAGAGAGAGGUCCGAGACGAGAAUGGGAGGGAGUAGGCUGGCGGCAGCAGCGGUGGUUAAUGGUGAGUGUUCCGCCACACGUGUUGCGGAGAUGAUGGAAUCGGCGGCGAUUUGGGUAAAACUCAAGCGCCCGUUGGUGUUGAUAUGAAACCGAAGCCUGAUUAUUUCUGAAGGGAUUCACAACAAAAUAAUACCAAUUGCUUGGUGUCCAUUGCCACUACCAUGGUUGAUGAUUACGAUAGUUUGGCAUCACUAUUCGACCACAAUCUGGUCAUUCAUUCCGUUUCAUCAAAUUAUUUACUUAAUCUUCUUGGUUCAUGCGGUUUUAUAUAAAACUGAUCAAAAGUAUACCCCUUUUAUAGUUCGGUAAAAUUGUAGAUGUUGUUUUCAUUGUUUUAAAAAGGAUGUUGCUCAAGAAGCUGUCAAGAAGAGACAUCGACCAAGAAGCCCUAUUGCAAGGCUAUUGUGGGAGCUACUUUGGAAGUUACUCAGAAGAAGAGAAGUGAUAGACCUAUAGUUCGUGAUGGUGCUAUGGAGGCUAGUCUUCGUGACCAAGAUUUAACAACAUUGAUGGUCUACGAAUGGUGGGAUUGCUAGGCUUCCGAUAACAGAGGCACAACCUAACACGAUUUUCCAUCGAUCAAGAUUAGCAACAUUAGUGACCUUUUGACCAUUUUAUCUCCACACGUACAUCCCAUCAACGACUGUGUUCUUAGGGCUUUCAUACCUGAACGCGUCAUCAUCGCUGAUCCCAAGUGCCCGGUGGUGUCGUUAACCGUUUCUUCUAUUCGCCAACAAAAGAUUAAUAAGUUGAUUUCCGACCCCAACUUUGGUUACCGACUUCUAUGACGGUUCCCUUUUAGAAUUUUCAAAAGGUAAUUCAAUACGGGUUCUUGCUAUGGAAAGGAAAAGAACAACUUAACAUCUCUCCUAAGUCCCCUUUGAAGUUUAUGGAAUAGUGGUAGACUUACUUAAAAGCUAUGUGCCACUUAGCUUCCUCAAGGUUCAGGAUGCAGGUCACAUGGUUCUAGAGGGCUGCACUAGAGAUGUUAAAGAGGUCAACCGAGGGAUCGCUUUAAGGAACUGUAAUGAAACAUAAAUCUUUGGUUUCUUCAGUUGUUUGUAAAUAAUGUUGCACAUUGGUUAGAUUUUGCAAAUAGCAUUUAUAUUUGUUUGUAUACAUUGCACCUUAAUUUGUAAGGCCCCCGGCCACAACGUGACGGGGCUUUAAUCUAAUUAAAAUAAAAUUAUAAAC